This 793-nucleotide ribosomal RNA is filed under the name Darkera picea. RNAcentral describes it as "eukaryotic LSU rRNA". It matches the Rfam family "Eukaryotic large subunit ribosomal RNA", at positions 90 to 900 of the family's 3401-position model. The record is from RNAcentral. Lineage: Eukaryota; Fungi; Ascomycota; Leotiomycetes; Phacidiales; Phacidiaceae.
CGAGUGAAGCGGCAACAGCUCAAAUUUGAAAUCUGGCCCCCUCGGGGCCCGAGUUGUAAUUUGUAGAGGAUGUUUCGGGUGUGGCUCCGGUCUAAGUUCCUUGGAACAGGACGUCAUAGAGGGUGAGAAUCCCGUAUGUGACUGGCAGCCUACGCCCAUGUGAAACUCCUUCGACGAGUCGAGUUGUUUGGGAAUGCAGCUCAAAAUGGGUGGUAAAUUUCAUCUAAAGCUAAAUAUUGGCCAGAGACCGAUAGCGCACAAGUAGAGUGAUCGAAAGAUGAAAAGCACUUUGGAAAGAGAGUUAAACAGUACGUGAAAUUGUUGAAAGGGAAGCGCUUGCAACCAGACUUGCGUGCGGCCGAUCAUCCGGUGUUCUCACCGGUGCACUCGGUCGUGCUCAGGCCAGCAUCGGUUUCGGCGGCUGGAUAAAGGCCAUGGGAAUGUAGCUCCUCUCGGGGAGUGUUAUAGCCCGUGGUGCAAUGCAGCCCGCUGGGACCGAGGACCGCGCUUCGGCUAGGAUGCUGGCGUAAUGGUUGUAAGCGACCCGUCUUGAAACACGGACCAAGGAGUCUAACAUCUAUGCGAGUGUUUGGGUGUCAAACCCAUACGCGGAAUGAAAGUGAACGGAGGUGAGAACCCUUAAGGGUGCAUCAUCGACCGAUCCUGAUGUCUUCGGAUGGAUUUGAGUAAGAGCAUAGCUGUUGGGACCCGAAAGAUGGUGAACUAUGCCUGAAUAGGGUGAAGCCAGAGGAAACUCUGGUGGAGGCUCGCAGCGGUUCUGACGUGCAAAUCG